AAGAGACAGCAGUAGCCGCGGUAAUACAGAGGGUGCGAGCGUUAAUCGGAUUUACUGGGCGUAAAGCGUGCGUAGGCGGCUUCUUAAGUCGGAUGUGAAAUCCCUGAGCUUAACUUAGGAAUUGCAUUCGAUACUGGGAAGCUAGAGUAUGGGAGAGGAUGGUAGAAUUCCAGGUGUAGCGGUGAAAUGCGUAGAGAUCUGGAGGAAUACCGAUGGCGAAGGCAGCCAUCUGGCCUAAUACUGACGCUGAGGUACGAAAGCAUGGGGAGCAAACAGGAUUAGAUACCCCAGUAGUCCCUGUCUCUUAUAU
This 310-nucleotide ribosomal RNA is filed under the name uncultured bacterium. RNAcentral's name for it is "partial 16S ribosomal RNA". It matches the Rfam family "Bacterial small subunit ribosomal RNA", at positions 503 to 809 of the family's 1533-position model. The record is from RNAcentral.